This 339-nucleotide ribosomal RNA is filed under the name Paralamyctes weberi. RNAcentral describes it as "partial 12S ribosomal RNA". The record is from RNAcentral. Lineage: Eukaryota; Metazoa; Arthropoda; Chilopoda; Lithobiomorpha; Henicopidae.
AGAAUAGUAAAUAUAUUUUUUGAGUAGUAUUAGAGUUCUUAAAACUAAAAGAGUUUGGCGGUACCUAAGUCUUCUUAGAGGAACCUGUAGGUUUAUCGAUAAUCCCCGAGAAUCUUACUGGGGUUAAGUAUGUAUAUCGUUGUCAUCAGAAUAAUCUUAAGGAUUUUUUCGAAUUUUAUGUUUAUAGAGAAUGUCAAAUCAAGGUGCAGCUGAUAUCUCAGGUCUUUAUGGGUUACAAUAUCUAGGAUAUAUGAAUCUCUCAUUGGAAUAUUAGGGUGAAGGUGGAUUUAAUUGUAAUUUUUUAUUAGAGUGGAAUAAUGAAUAAGUACUAAGGUAUGC